GGACGAACGCUGGCGGCGUGCUUAACACAUGCAAGUCGAGCGGUAAGGCCCUUUCGGGGGUACGACGAGCUGCGAACGGGUGAGUAACACGUGGGUGACCUGCCCUCAGCUCUGGGAUAAGCCUGGGAAACCGGGUCUAAUACCGGAUAUGACUCCAUGACGCAUGUUGUGGGGUGGAAAGCCUUGUGCGGCUGAGGAUGGGCCCGCGGCCUAUCAGCUUGUUGGUGGGGUGANGGCCUACCAAGGCGACGACGGGUAGCCGGCCUGAGAGGGCGACCGGCCACACUGGGACUGAGACACGGCCCAGACUCCUACGGGAGGCAGCAGUGGGGAAUCUUGCGCAAUGGGCGAAAGCCUGACGCAGCGACGCCGCGUGAGGGAUGACGGCCUU
RNAcentral lists this ribosomal RNA (391 nucleotides) under uncultured bacterium. Its description in RNAcentral is "bacterial SSU rRNA". It matches the Rfam family "Bacterial small subunit ribosomal RNA", at positions 27 to 418 of the family's 1533-position model. The record is from RNAcentral.